This 293-nucleotide ribosomal RNA is filed under the name Escherichia coli. RNAcentral's name for it is "partial 16S ribosomal RNA". It matches the Rfam family "Bacterial small subunit ribosomal RNA", at positions 868 to 1161 of the family's 1533-position model. Lineage: Bacteria; Pseudomonadati; Pseudomonadota; Gammaproteobacteria; Enterobacterales; Enterobacteriaceae. The record is from RNAcentral.
ACCGCCUGGGGAGUACGGCCGCAAGGUUAAAACUCAAAUGAAUUGACGGGGGCCCGCACAAGCGGUGGAGCAUGUGGUUUAAUUCGAUGCAACGCGAAGAACCUUACCUGGUCUUGACAUCCACGGAAGUUUUCAGAGAUGAGAAUAUGCCUUCGGGAACCGUGAGACAGGUGCUGCAUGGCUGUCGUCAGCUCGUGUUGUGAAAUGUUGGGUUAAGUCCCGCAACGAGCGCAACCCUUAUCCUUUGUUGCCAGCGGUCCGGCCGGGAACUCAAAGGAGACUGCCAGUGAUAA